Molecule: ribosomal RNA, 225 nt
Filed under: Triticum aestivum (bread wheat)
Lineage: Eukaryota; Viridiplantae; Streptophyta; Magnoliopsida; Poales; Poaceae
Description: partial small subunit ribosomal RNA
Source: RNAcentral
AUGCAAAUGGUCUCUUGCGGUCGCACGGCGGUGAACAUCAACGGCGAGAUUGAUCCUUUCUUCCCCACCCUUUGUGGGGUUCGUCAAGGUGACCCCUUCUCCCCGUUCCUGUUCAAUAUGGCCGUGGACGCUCUUGCCUCCAUCCUGGAUAAGGCAAAAGCCGCUGGCGACAUUCGUGGGAUUACUCCCCACCUUUCCGGUGGCUCUGGGAUCUCCAUCCUGUAA